This 500-nucleotide ribosomal RNA is filed under the name uncultured bacterium. Its description in RNAcentral is "partial 16S ribosomal RNA". It matches the Rfam family "Bacterial small subunit ribosomal RNA", at positions 30 to 523 of the family's 1533-position model. The record is from RNAcentral.
AUUGAACGCUGGCGGCAUGCCUUACACAUGCAAGUCGAACGGCAGCACGGGAGCAAUCCUGGUGGCGAGUGGCGAACGGGUGAGUAAAGUAACGGAACGUGCCCAGUCGUGGGGGAUAACGUAGCGAAAGUUACGCUAAUACCGCAUACGAUCUAUGGAUGAAAGCGGGGGAUCGCAAGACCUCGCGCGAUUGGAGCGGCCGAUAUCAGAUUAGGUAGUUGGUGGGGUAAAGGCUCACCAAGCCGACGAUCUGUAGCUGGUCUGAGAGGACGACCAGCCACACUGGGACUGAGACACGGCCCAGACUCCUACGGGAGGCAGCAGUGGGGAACUUUGGACAAUGGGCGCAAGCCUGAUCCAGCCAUGCCGCGUGCAGGAUGAAGGCCUUCGGGUUGUAAACUGCUUUUGUGCGGAACGAAAAGGUUUGACUUAAUACGUUGGACUCAUGACGGUACCGUAAGAAUAAGCACCGGCUAACUACGUGCCAGCAGCCGCGGUAA